GACGAACGCUGGCGGCGUGCUUAACACAUGCAAGUCGAACGAAGAGCGAUGGAAGCUUGCUUCUAUCAAUCUUAGUGGCGAACGGGUGAGUAACGCGUAAUCAACCCGCCCUUCAGAGGGGGACAACAGUUGGAAACGACUGCUAAUACCGCAUACGAUCUAAUCUCGGCAUCGAGGAUAGAUGAAAGGUGGCCUCUACAUGUAAGCUAUCACUGAAGGAGGGGAUUGCGUCUGAUUAGCUAGUUGGAGGGGUAACGGCCCACCAAGGCGAUGAUCAGUAGCCGGUCUGAGAGGAUGAACGGCCACAUUGGGACUGAGACACGGCCCAGACUCCUACGGGAGGCAGCAGUGGGGAAUCUUCCGCAAUGGACGAAAGUCUAACGGAGCAACGCCGCGUGAGCGAUGACGGCCUUCGGGUUGUAAAGCUCUGUUAAUCGGGACGAAAGGCCUUCUUGCGAAUAGUGAGAAGGAUUGACGGUACCGGAAUAGAAAGCCACGGCUAACUACGUG
Molecule: ribosomal RNA, 510 nt
Filed under: uncultured bacterium
Lineage: Bacteria
Description: partial 16S ribosomal RNA
Rfam family: Bacterial small subunit ribosomal RNA
Source: RNAcentral